This 776-nucleotide ribosomal RNA is filed under the name uncultured Neocallimastigales. RNAcentral's name for it is "partial large subunit ribosomal RNA". It matches the Rfam family "Eukaryotic large subunit ribosomal RNA", at positions 22 to 644 of the family's 3401-position model. Lineage: Eukaryota; Fungi; Neocallimastigomycota; Neocallimastigomycetes; Neocallimastigales. The record is from RNAcentral.
CAUAGCGACUAUCGUGGCAUAUCAAUAAGCGGAGGAAAAGAAACUAACAAGGAUUCCCCUAGUAACGGCGAGUGAAGCGGGAAGAGCUCAAAUUUGAAAUCUUAAAGGGUUUCCCUUUACGAAUUGUAGUUUAAAGAAGUGUUUUCUGUUGGAGUUUCGGUAAAAGUUCUUUGGAAUAGGACAUCAUAGAGGGUGAGAAUCCCGUAUUCGACCGUUACUUUCCAGCUGUGUGAUACACUUUCAAAGAGUCGGAUUGUUUGGGAAUGCAGUCCAAAAUGGGUGGUAAAUUUCAUCUAAAGCUAAAUAUUGGCGAGAGACCGAUAGCGAACAAGUAGCCGUGAGGGAAAGAUGAAAAGAACUUUGAAAAGAGAGUUAAACAGUACGUGAAAUUGUCAAAAGGGAAGCGUUUGACACCAGUGUUGUUUAGUUGAAAAUCAAUUCAAUAGUUUUUGAUUCUAAGUAGUAUUGACUUCAUCAGCUUGCUGCUUUCUUCUCAGAAAUUAUUGAAUGCACUUUUCAGUUAACAAGUCGACAUCAAUUUCUUUUGUUGUAAAAGGGUAAGAGGAAGGUGGCUUGCGCUUCGGCUCAAGUGUUUAUAGCCUUUUAUCUCUGCAAUCGGAGAGAUUGAGGUCUGCAGCGUAGAUCCUUCGGGGUUAGAUACAUUGGUGCUAAGCUAUAGCCUUGUAUAGACAACUUGUUGACUAUGCUCAGUCAUGUAGCUUACUCGCUGAUGCUAUUUUACCUACGCUUAGGAUGUUGAAGAUAUGCGCGACACG